Eriocheir sinensis (Chinese mitten crab) is the source of this 590-nucleotide long non-coding RNA. RefSeq lists it as uncharacterized. The transcript is spliced from 3 exons. NCBI's taxonomy places the organism in Eukaryota, Metazoa, Arthropoda, Malacostraca, Decapoda, Varunidae. The record is from RefSeq and is a predicted model, not a curated record.
CACCUUCCCUCCAGCCUAAGGCGCUAACCUCUGCCGUGCUCCCUCGCCCCUCGUUCCGGAGCCUCCCAAAAUGAGCGGUGGUCUGCGGUGGUCAGUGGCGGUGGCCAUGACGGUGGUUUUGUUGGUGCAAGUCGUCCCGCCCGCCACGUCUCAGCUGGACGAGCCAUCCUACUUUCUCGUGGGCAAAGAGGCAACGAAACCCAGCGCGGGUGCAGUGUAUAGCAACCAGUACAACAGGCCUCCAGUUGUACAUUUUUCAUCAUGGAACUACCAAUACCCUUCCUUCGGCUUCAACCACAACCGCCGUCCUACCCACCAAACCUACAACCGCCGUCCUACCUACCAAACCUUCUACUGGAACACUGGCCGUUAGCAAGAGCACGCUGUCUAUCAUAACUACACUGUCUAUGGCAGAGGUCGGCAACCUUAUGAACAGGGUGUGCCAGUUUAUAAUUAAUGCCAUUUUUUUACUGCCCUGAGCGCCAGGUGUUAUUUUUUUCAGCACUAUGUAGCCUAUGAAAACUGAGAUCAUAUUUGUACAGUAUGUUGUGACCAUUGUAAUUAAAGUAAAAAAAAAAUUUCUGCACAUG